GACGAACGCUGGCGGCGUGCUUAACACAUGCAAGUCGAACGGAAAGGCCCUGCUUUUGUGGGGUGCUCGAGUGGCGAACGGGUGAGUAACACGUGAGUAACCUGCCCUUGACUUUGGGAUAACUUCAGGAAACUGGGGCUAAUACCGGAUAGGAGCUCCUGCUGCAUGGUGGGGGUUGGAAAGUUUCGGCGGUUGGGGAUGGACUCGCGGCUUAUCAGCUUGUUGGUGGGGUAGUGGCUUACCAAGGCUUUGACGGGUAGCCGGCCUGAGAGGGUGACCGGCCAAAUUGGGACUGAGAUACGGACCAGACUCCUACGGGAGGCAGCAGUGGGGAAUAUUGCACAAUGGGCGGAAGCCUGAUGCAGCAACGCCGCGUGCGGGAUGACGGCCUUCGGGUUGUAAACCGCUUUCGCCUGUGACGAAGCGUGAGUGACGGUAAUGGGUAAAGAAGCACCGGCUAACUACGUG
RNAcentral lists this ribosomal RNA (468 nucleotides) under uncultured bacterium. RNAcentral describes it as "partial 16S ribosomal RNA". It matches the Rfam family "Bacterial small subunit ribosomal RNA", at positions 28 to 507 of the family's 1533-position model. The record is from RNAcentral.